AUUGAACGCUGGCGGCAGGCCUAACACAUGCAAGUCGAGCGCCCCGCAAGGGGAGCGGCGGACGGGUGAGUAACGCGUGGGAACGUACCCUUUGCUACGGAAUAGCCUCGGGAAACUGGGAGUAAUACCGUAUGUGCCCUUCGGGGGAAAGAUUUAUCGGCAAAGGAUCGGCCCGCGUUGGAUUAGGUAGUUGGUGGGGUAAUGGCCUACCAAGCCGACGAUCCAUAGCUGGUUUGAGAGGAUGAUCAGCCACACUGGGACUGAGACACGGCCCAGACUCCUACGGGAGGCAGCAGUGGGGAAUCUUAGACAAUGGGCGCAAGCCUGAUCUAGCCAUGCCGCGUGAGCGAUGAAGGCCUUAGGGUUGUAAAGCUCUUUCAGUGGGAAGAUAAUGACUGUACCCACAGAAGAACGCCCGGCUAACUCCGUGCCAGCA
This 436-nucleotide ribosomal RNA is filed under the name uncultured bacterium. RNAcentral describes it as "bacterial SSU rRNA". It matches the Rfam family "Bacterial small subunit ribosomal RNA", at positions 30 to 513 of the family's 1533-position model. The record is from RNAcentral.